CCUUUUUGUGGUUUGGGGCUUUU
RNAcentral lists this microRNA (23 nucleotides) under Branchiostoma floridae (Florida lancelet). RNAcentral describes it as "bfl-miR-129a-5p". Its record names the gene bfl-miR-129a-5p. The record is from miRBase by way of RNAcentral. Lineage: Eukaryota; Metazoa; Chordata; Leptocardii; Amphioxiformes; Branchiostomatidae. RNAcentral also lists the same sequence under 2 other names.